GACGAACGCUGGCGGCGUGCUUAACACAUGCAAGUCGAACGAUGAACCGGUUUCGGCCGGGGAUUAGUGGCGAACGGGUGAGUAACACGUGGGCAAUCUGCCCUGCACUCUGGGAUAAGCCCGGGAAACUGGGUCUAAUACCGGAUACGACACAUGAGCGCAUGCUCGUGUGUGGAAAGUUCCGGCGGUGCAGGAUGAGCCCGCGGCCUAUCAGUUUGUUGGUGGGGUAGUGGCCUACCAAGACGACGACGGGUAGCCGGCCUGAGAGGGUGACCGGCCACACUGGGACUGAGACACGGCCCAGACUCCUACGGGAGGCAGCAGUGGGGAAUAUUGCACAAUGGGCGAAAGCCUGAUGCAGCGACGCCGCGUGAGGGAUGACGGCCUUCGGGUUGUAAACCUCUUUCAGCAGGGAAGAAGCGCAAGUGACGGUACCUGCAGAAGAAGCACCGGCUAACUACGUGCCAGCCGCCGCCGUAACAC
RNAcentral lists this ribosomal RNA (483 nucleotides) under uncultured bacterium. Its description in RNAcentral is "bacterial SSU rRNA". It matches the Rfam family "Bacterial small subunit ribosomal RNA", at positions 28 to 526 of the family's 1533-position model. The record is from RNAcentral.